CGGACGGGUGAGUAAUGUCUGGGAAACUGCCUGAUGGAGGGGGAUAACUACUGGAAACGGUAGCUAAUACCGCAUAACGUCGCAAGACCAAAGAGGGGGACCUUCGGGCCUCUUGCCAUCAGAUGUGCCCAGAUGGGAUUAGCUAGUAGGUGGGGUAACGGCUCACCUAGGCGACGAUCCCUAGCUGGUCUGAGAGGAUGGCCAGCCACACUGGAACUGAGACACGGUCCAGACUCCUACGGGAGGCAGCAUG
RNAcentral lists this ribosomal RNA (253 nucleotides) under uncultured bacterium. RNAcentral describes it as "partial 16S ribosomal RNA". It matches the Rfam family "Bacterial small subunit ribosomal RNA", at positions 99 to 353 of the family's 1533-position model. The record is from RNAcentral.